GACACUGACGAAAGAGAAGAAGAAAUGAAUUGACACUGACUAAAGAGAAGAAGAAAUGAAUUGACACUGACUAAAGAGAAGAAGAAAUGAAUUGACACUGACUAAAGAGAAGAAGAAAUGAAUUGACACUGACGAAAGAGAAGAAGAAAUGAAUUGACACUGACGAAAGAGAAGAAGAAAUGAAUUGACACUGACGAAAGAGAAGAAGAAAUGAAUUGACACUGACUAAAGAGAAGAAGAAAUGAAUUGACACUGACUAAAGAGAAGAAGAAAUGAAUUGACACUGACUAAAGAGAAGAAGAAAUGAAUUGACACUGACUAAAGAGAAGAAGAAAUGAAUUGACAUUGACUAAAGAGAAGAAGAAAUGAAUUGACACUGACUAAAGAGAAGAAGAAAUGAAUUGACACUGACUAAAGUGAAGAAGAAAUGAAUUGACACUGACUAAAGAGAAGAAGAAAUGAAUUGACACUGACUAAAGAGAAGAAAUGAAUUGACACUGACUAAAGAGAAGAAGAAAUGAAUUGACACUGACGAAAGAGAAGAAGAAAUGAAUUGACACUGACGAAAGAGAAGAAGAAAUGAAUUGACACUGACUAAAGAGAAGAAGAAAUGAAUUGACACUGACUAAAGAGAAGAAGAAAUGAAUUGACACUGACUAAAGAGAAGAAGAAAUGAAUUGACACUGACUAAAGAGAAGAAGAAAUGAAUUGACACUGACUAAAGAGAAGAAGAAAUGAAUUGACACUGACUAAAGAGAAGAAGAAAUGAAUUGACACUGACGAAAGAGAAGAAGAAAUGAAUUGACACUGACGAAAGAGAAGAAAUGAAUUGACACUGACUAAAGAGAAGAAGAAAUGAAUUGACACUGACUAAAGAGAAGAAGAAAUGAAUUGACACUGACUAAAGAGAAGAAGAAAUGAAUUGGGACUGGAAUUUAUUGAAAUACUAAUUAAAGGUUAAACAUAUUAAAUGUUAAAGGUUGAAAACGUUGGGAGAUAUUAAAGGUGUUAAAAUAAUGCAGGUGAGGAGAGUUAUAAUGUAGUUUUCUUUAAGUUGUGAAUCAUAUAGACUGUGUUUCAUUCUGCUUAGAGGACAAGGCCUUAGGAGGUUGAUAACGAGACGUUAUAAUGGUCAAAUGUUAUAAUGUUUAAAAUAUUGAAUUAUUAAGAUAUAACUGGAGUAAUAAAUUAGGUUGUAUUAAGAUUAGAAUUGAGUAAAGAUGGUUUGAAAAAUGUAUGUUUUAAGAAGUUGAUGUUAAUGAAGUAUAUUAAAAGGUGCUAGCUUGAUCUGGAAAUCCCUUGAGGUGACCUCAUUGACAGACAUGUUCUAGAACAUUCUAGGUGGAACCCUUAAGGUUACCUCAUUGAUAGAAGUGUUCUAGAACAUUCUAGGUGGAAUCCUUAAGGUUACCUCAUUGGUAGAAGUGUUCUAGUAGCUGUUAGUUUUUUAGACACCAACUGAGGGACUGAGCAUCCCGAGGGGGGAGACAAAAAUCUGUUUAUAAUUUGUAGAAGGUAAGAACAUGUUUUUCUUGUUGUUAAAUACAGCUUCUCAUGAAAUUGUUAUAGUUUUUAGGUAAAGGGUUUAGGUAAAGGGUUUAGGUAAAGGGUUUAGGUAAAGACGCUGAAGGCAUCUCUCAAUUUAAUCCAAGGUACAUUUUUGCGUAUCAUCAAUUGGUGAUAUUGAUUGAUCCGUUUUUUAUGCCUUUUUUUCUGUCAUUUUGAAUAAACUUGCUUUAUUGUUCUGAAA
Long non-coding RNA from Oncorhynchus tshawytscha (Chinook salmon), 1750 nucleotides. NCBI's taxonomy places the organism in Eukaryota, Metazoa, Chordata, Actinopteri, Salmoniformes, Salmonidae. The record is from Ensembl.